Molecule: long non-coding RNA, 475 nt
Filed under: Rattus norvegicus (Norway rat)
Lineage: Eukaryota; Metazoa; Chordata; Mammalia; Rodentia; Muridae
Description: long non-coding RNA NONRATT016022
Source: RNAcentral
CAGCGAGGAAGUCCAGCACCAUGGAGAGCUCCCGCCUGCGGCUGCUACCCGUCCUGGGCGCCGCCCUACUGCUGCUGCUACCUUUGCUGGGUGCCGGUGCCCAGGAGGAUGCCGAGCUGCAGCCCCGAGCCCUGGACAUCUACUCUGCCGUGGAUGAUGCGUCCCAUGAGAAGGAGCUGAUUGAAGCGCUGCAGGAAGUCCUGAAGAAGCUCAAGAGUAAACGCAUUCCGAUCUAUGAGAAGAAGUACGGCCAAGUCCCCAUGUGUGACGCUGGAGAGCAGUGCGCAGUGCGGAAAGGGGCCAGGAUCGGGAAGCUGUGUGACUGUCCCCGAGGAACUUCUUGCAAUUCUUUCCUCUUGAAGUGCUUGUGAAGGGGUGACAGCCUCCUUCGGUUCCCAUAUUUCCUCUUUCCCCUAAAGGAGCGCUCUUUUGUCCCUGGAGCCGCUUUAACAACAAUAAAGUUUGCGUUCCCCCC